GACGAACGCUGGCGGCGUGCUUAACACAUGCAAGUCGAACGGAAAGGCCCUGCUUUUGUGGGGUGCUCGAGUGGCGAACGGGUGAGUAACACGUGAGUAACCUGCCCUUGACUUUGGGAUAACUUCAGGAAACUGGGGCUAAUACCGGAUAGGAGCUCCUGCUGCAUGGUGGGGGUUGGAAAGUUUCGGCGGUUGGGGAUGGACUCGCGGCUUAUCAGCUUGUUGGUGGGGUAGUGGCUUACCAAGGCUUUGACGGGUAGCCGGCCUGAGAGGGUGACCGGCCACAUGGGGACGGAGAUACGGCCCAGACUCCUACGGGGGGGAGGAGGGGGGAAUAUUGCAAAAGGGGCGGAAGCCUGAGGCAGAAACGCCGCGGGCGGGAGGACGGCCUUGGGGUUGUAAACCGUUUUCGCCUGUGACGAAGGGGGAGUGGCGGUAAUGGGUAAAGAAGCACCGGCUAACUGCGU
RNAcentral lists this ribosomal RNA (467 nucleotides) under uncultured bacterium. RNAcentral describes it as "partial 16S ribosomal RNA". It matches the Rfam family "Bacterial small subunit ribosomal RNA", at positions 28 to 506 of the family's 1533-position model. The record is from RNAcentral.